Molecule: long non-coding RNA, 287 nt
Organism: Xenopus tropicalis (tropical clawed frog)
Lineage: Eukaryota; Metazoa; Chordata; Amphibia; Anura; Pipidae
Exons: 3
Source: RefSeq, a predicted model, not a curated record
AAGCUCAGCUCCAUUUCUUCCAUUUCAGCAAAAAACACAGGAACAUAUUCUGUCACUGCUACAGGCUCCAAGUUUUCAUAACAUCCUUUCAUAACAUACAACUUUGCAGAGAACCGGGGCUUUCACUCAUUAUGUCAGGAAGAAAGACAAGUGUUUCAUUGCUGCAUGUAUUUGAUUCUCCCAAAACAACUGAGACUUUUAAAAAGCAAAAUGCCCCUGUUAAUAAAGAGGAGGAUAAAACUAAAGGGCUAAACAAGGACAUCACUCCACAUGACGAAGAUGUUUCU